This 458-nucleotide ribosomal RNA is filed under the name uncultured bacterium. RNAcentral describes it as "partial 16S ribosomal RNA". It matches the Rfam family "Bacterial small subunit ribosomal RNA", at positions 338 to 795 of the family's 1533-position model. The record is from RNAcentral.
CCUACGGGUGGCAGCAGUGAGGAAUAUUGGUCAAUGGGCGAGAGCCUGAACCAGCCAAGUCGCGUGAGGGAGUACUGCCCUAUGGGUUGUAAACCUCUUUUGUCGGGGAGCAAAAGCCGGACGUGUCCGGCUGUGAGAGUACCCGAAGAAAAAGCAGCGGCUAACUCCGUGCCAGCAGCCGCGGUAAUACGGAGGAUGCGAGCGUUAACCGGAUUUAUUGGGUUUAAAGGGUGCGCAGGCGGAUUUUUAAGUCUGCGGUAAAAUCGUGGGGCUCAACCCCAUCCAGCCGUUGAAACUGGGGAUCUAGAGUGUGCGAGAGGUAUGCGGAAUGCGUGGUGUAGCGGUGAAAUGCAUAGAUAUCACGCAGAACCCCGAUUGCGAAGGCAGCAUACCGGUGCACAACUGACGCUCAGGCACGAAAGCGUGGGUAUCGAACAGGAUUAGAUACCCUUGUAGUC